CUGCUUUUCGUUAAUCUGCUGCUCGACCGCGAUGCGGAGGCCGUCGUCCAGGACCAGUGGGGAAGCAUGGCGAGUCUACUUUAAAGUUUUGACUAUUAAAACUAAUGAUAAUAUUGUGCCUAUGUUACAUGCUUGCUAACAACAAUAUUAUGUGCUAACAAAACAUCUGCACGUGAAAUGACCAACAUAUAUCCAAAUAUGAAUUUUGUACUGAUCCGCCAAAGAUACGGGACGAGGACACCUACCUGAGGAGAGGUGAUGCUGAUUUACCACGUGCUAGCUGCUGGAGAAGGCACGAGGGGAGCUGUAUCAUAGGCAUUGGUGUUGUGACCACAGGUGUUGCAGUGGUCGACGACCAACAUAUAUCCAAAUAUCUGAACAAAUAUGUGAUUUUCUGAUUGGUAGAAACCCCCUUUUCCCGAACCUGCAGGUAAUAGCAGAUCAAUCUUCCGUCACUUUGAAGCUCAUAUUCUGUUCCAUUACACGUAUGAGAUGGUGGUAGUGUGGAAUUGCUUUUACAUCAUGUCCUAUCACUGUGAAGGCAUGCACUUUUGCAUAUUCCUCGCUUUGGUGUUCAAGUGCCAUUACAAACAAGGGCAUGUUUGCUUUUCUACUUCGAAAUUGAAUGCUAACUUUUUAUUGGUAAUAAAUAUGUGUUAGAAUAGGAGGUUAGAGCAAAAGCCUAUCAGUAAAUCAAUCGAUCUUUCUCUAUGGUUGUAUACUUGAAGGGCUGCAAUUUGAACCGUUAUUCCUUCUCUACAAUGGACGGGCGCAACAAUGUGCGCCUUGUUUGCCUCUGGAUGGUGCUUUGCUAAUUAUAAUUCAAAGUGGUCUUUCCCUCUUGUCUGGUGCUUUGCUAAUUAUAAUUCGAAGUGGUCUUUCCCUCUUGUCUGAUCUGAUUUUCUGGUGAAAACAGUAGUGGAUUUUGACCCUGGGUGUCUGUGGCUUUGCAGACGAAUGUUUUACUACACAUGGUGUUAACUAAGCGCAUGAAGAUUAUGCCUUCUUCAAUGCAAUAUUAUGCUGACACUUUUGAGAGAGGAGAAGAAAGAGAGGGCGACAUGCUGGCCGACGACGAUGCAGCCUCGGAAGAGGAGGAGGAGAAGAAAGAAGAAAGAGAGGGUGAGAAGAGUUCGAUUCUGGUCAAGAGAUGCCAUGGGGAAGAUGCUGGCCUUAUUUCUCACACCCCGAAAGUCACAUUACUUCUAUGAACCAGAAGAACUAGAGAAGGGUAACUUAACGUUGUAUUCAGAUCUGGGUCGACAUAUGAAGACGUGAGAGCUAAAGCAAAUAGACUGCGAGGUUAUCAGGAUACUGGAGAAAUGGGUUUUGCUUUAGUCCUUGUUAAUGGCACUGGUUUUUCUGGUGCGAGUAAAGCCCGACAGUGGUGUACUCCAGGCAAUGUGAAGCUGGGACUUCCCUAUCAGGCGUGACCUUGUAGCCAAAUCCAUGAGGAGUCGGAGGCAGUUGCAGCAACUAACCAUGAAGCGACGGCAGAGAUCCAGUUUAUCUGUCUGACCAGCACAAGGUGGCAACAACAGUAGUGGAGAAGGCAUGAAGAGGCCCACAUCUGAAAAUCCGUUCUGCUGACUGAUCAAGGGAGAUGGUCCCAGCAUCCACUGUGACAAUGUUGUCCAGAACAUGGACUCUGGAAACUGAAAAGUAACAGAUUUUGCUUCCAGGCGCAUAAAGGCCACCGAUCGGAUCAGCGCGAAGAAACCCGUUCGGACCGCCGCCGCAAGCCUCACCUCAGCAACGGAUCAACCUCUGCACCUACAUCCACUUCGACAGGUCCUCAGUCAAAGCAGGUCCACUUCGACUGUCCCGGUAGAGGGCUGCUUACAACUGAUGUCCGCAACUCGCCGCCGUAGUUGUGCUGCUUGCAUUAUGCUUGGGCUGCUCUGGAAUUAUUUAGAUUUCAGUUCGUGGACUUUAUUACUCAUGUGUUCUUUUAGUAGGCCUAUACAAACACAAUUGUAUUAUGGCUGAUCUGUUUCCUCUUUUGUUGCAGUUGUCGUGCCUAGGAAAAUACGAAAUAUUUAGAGUUUGGUUCUUUUGAGUUAGCUUAGUGAUGUUACAUGAUCUUAUUGUGCCCUUUUGAUUGAUUGUAGUAGAAGACUGUUAAACUUGGAGAUGAUUUCUUUGAUGUAACCACAAUAUAUCAUACAAAGUUAUUAUUUGAGGAAAAAUGUUUCUUCUCAGAAUAAUAGAUUUGCAUAUGUGCCAAACUAACAAUGCUUUAUAUUUUCAAACUGGGCGCUUACACCAGACGGCAUGAUAAAUUUUACCCACUCAUUCUGAAACAGGCACUGGUUGGAACUUCUUAAGAGGAGUACCGGUUUAACUCUGUAAGGCAGCUAGAGCAGUCCCGACACCUUCAAAUGUUUCUUCUCUGGAGAAUGCGUCAAGCAAAAAAGUCUAAUUGUUGGUGAAGAUAUAGCUUAAAUUACAGCUAUUUUCCAUCCCUUUUCAAUUGUUAGUGAAGAUAUAGUCGAGAUUACAGCUAUUCUGCAGACCUUUUCAGUUGUUAGUGAAGAUAUAGCUUAUAUUAUACUCCCUCCGUUCCAAAAUAGACGACUCAACUUUGUACUAACUUUAGUAAAAGUUAGUACAAAGUUGAGUCAUCUAUUUUGGAACGGAGGGAGUAGCUAUUUGAUAGCCCUUUGCUUAGUGUGUUUAUACUUCUUAUUAAUCAGCGCCUAAAUAGUCCGUUUGUACAAGCUCAUAAAUGCUUCUUUCGGCUUUUCCUGGUACCUAAAAAAUAUUCUAUGUAUAUAUCCUUUUCGAACUGCUUUAUGGUUAUGUAUAACUAUGGAAUCCAUCGUCCUGUGUUGAGACAAUGUAAUCUACCUAUGUUGCACCUAUGUUUUUUCCCGUUGAGAUUCUUCCUUGCAAUGCCUUCGCUAUGCAUGUGCAUUUAUAUCUAUCUUUGCUUAGGUGAAAGAGAACAUAAUAAGUUCAUAUCUCACCUCUGUUCUCAAUUCUCUUGCGUUUCAGCCAACACAUUACUUCGUGUCCUAUCAUCUUCUGCUUGCUAUUUUGCUGGUGCUCUACUGCCUCUGAUGAUCUACUGACUCAUGCUUUUCUUGCUGUUUAGUGAAGGUCCUUUCCGAAAAGCUUUGAUACGACAUGUGCGCUGGAAAGCUCCAUCUUGUUGUUGGACUUGGUGAAGCUAAUGGGCCCGAGGUCGGUAAGAAGAGUUGGAUGCCUCCAUCUUAUGCUGGUGGUCCGCGCUGUAUGACUGAAAACUUCUAUGAUGGGGUGGCUGUUUUGCGUAUGCAUGCCUCGCCUGAUAUAAUCACAACCUUCACAUGUAGUCCAAAGUGGCCUGAAAUAACGGAGAGUACUGAACCUGGGCAAAAAACAGUCGAUAGGUCUGACAUUACCGUUCGAGUGUAUCGCUUGAAACUUCUUGAGUACCUACAGAAAAUGAGGACAGGGAGGAUGUUUGGGCCUAUAGUUGCUGUUAUCCACACAGGGGAGUUUCAUAAGAGGGAGCUGCCGCAUGCGUGUGUCCUUGUUUGGCAAGAGAAGCAUCAUGACCGGGUGGUCACACCAACUUCAUAAAUUCCUUUGUUUCAAUCACUGGUUCUCAACUGACUGAUAUUGAUGCUGAUGCUCCUGCUACUAUGCCUCCUAACACGAUGGAAACUACAGUUCCUAUGCCACUUAAGCUUAACAGGGGUGCUACUGCUGCUGCUUUUUUUUUUGAACCGGGCGUGCCCCUUUCCAUUUAAGAUAAAUGGAAAUACAACAGUCUCCGAUACAACCAGGAAGCAAGGAAAGAGAGGCAGCGAGUUCAAUGCACUGCCAGGAAACCCACUGUGCUCGCCCGCCAUCGAAACGAGCACCAUGGGGCGAAAACCUGACAUCACCUACUUAGUUUGAAUCUAGCUAUUACAAACCAGGGAAAAGGCACAAACAAAGAGGUGCCAGAUAACAUAAAGUAUGUAGACUUCAUUUCAUCAAAAACGCUGAAGUAGUGGUUGAUCCAAGUUUUCAGAUAAGCAUGCAUGUGUGGUACGUCUAUUCCUGCAGCUUAUAGUCCCUUCACUGAUUUGUUCAUGCCUUGCUUUUGGUUAUUUUAAAAUUGCCAUGUUUUACAGCCUGUUGUCUUUAAAAUGCUAAGAACCCAUAAAUGUUGUCUUUAAAAUGAUAAGAACCCAUAAAUGCUGUUAGAUCCUUUUAAAUUCCUUAACUGGUUUAUCUCUUCCUUGUGCAUCCAUGCAACUGAUACACUGUAUAAUGGGCUUUAUUACAAUGGCAAUUUAACUCUUAUAAACUUGCCAAUGCCAUGUCGAUCUCUUGCCUUAUGAGCUAUCCUGUCUUUUGCAUCAGCUUUGUUCGCUAAAUUGGUCCUCGCAACCUUUGCUGUGGCUACUAAACCACCACCUGCAAGGACAAGUGAAGACUGCUACCCUGUUGCUGUCCUCAUACGCUUGUAUUUUCAGUGUUUUGAACAAACCCAGGCUUUAGCACUAAUAAAGGUAGCCUGGACAACAAAGCCGUUUUCAAUAUCCAUGAAACGUGCAACGAUGACUCCAUCUAAUGUUCGUCGCCUCAUAAGAUGUAUCUCUAGCUAUCUACCAUGCUUCCUAAUAACAUUGUAAAUAAUCGAUCAAAAACUUCUUAUAACCACUAUGUAUCAUCACUAAGUAUCUAUCUACCAGCAGUAAGUAUUUAUUA
Triticum aestivum (bread wheat) is the source of this 4686-nucleotide long non-coding RNA. RefSeq lists it as uncharacterized. Lineage: Eukaryota; Viridiplantae; Streptophyta; Magnoliopsida; Poales; Poaceae. The transcript is spliced from 8 exons. The record is from RefSeq and is a predicted model, not a curated record.